ACGUGUGAGUCCCCAAUCCUCACAGUCCAACUUCCGACUAUUUGGUUCUCCAACUGUGUUGUCCAAAUCUGUGAGGUGAGGCGCUCUCUAUUACCAAAUCGCCGCCGUUCUCGCUAUUGUCCGUCGCCUAGGACCAGUGCGUGAGGUGCUGCUGCUAUAGGUGGAUGUCCUUGCGACCUAGCUCCCGGUGAGCCGAGGAAAUUUUGAUGUUUUGCAUCGGAGUGUCCGUUGGUCUGGGAGGCUACUAUUUGGAGGAGAUUAAGGUGUUGGUGCGUAUUGUGGGUUGGACUCGUGAGGACAUGGUCCUAAAUUGGUUUUGCGUCCGUCGGAUGUUGAGCUGAUCUUUGGGAAACAGGAAGCCGCCAGAAAAGCGCUUGACUUGCUGCAACUUGCAAGGCCAAAAGGAUUGUCAAUUCGUCGGAUAUUGACGUUGCUCUAUCAGAAACGGCCGAAAAGGCACCUGAAUUGCUGCAAGGCCAAAAGCAUCGACGAAAAUUUAUCUGACCUCGAGGAUAAUCUCUGGUAAGCAGGAAGCCGACGCCGGGGAUAUGUGGAAACAUAUGUUGAUGUUCAUCUCUAGGAAGAAGGAAGUAGAAAUCCAGGAUAUGUGAAAAGGGUCUCCGCCUACGUAUAGAUGACCUGCUGUUUGUAAAAAAAAUCUGGGAUACGCAUAUGCAAGAUGCCUAUGUUGCUAACCACGUGAUCUUAUUGGACUCUUAUUUAAUUGGACUCUUAUAUUUCUAUCAUGAGGAGCGUGAGGAGUCCUGGAAGGCCGAGGAGUCGUGACAUGUUAGUCACGUUGUACAAUCUGUCAAUUCGCGUUUGUAAUCAAAGCUGUAAAAAUUGCAUU
Molecule: non-coding RNA, 850 nt
Organism: Lolium perenne
Lineage: Eukaryota; Viridiplantae; Streptophyta; Magnoliopsida; Poales; Poaceae
Source: RefSeq, a predicted model, not a curated record